Molecule: ribosomal RNA, 532 nt
Filed under: uncultured bacterium
Lineage: Bacteria
Description: bacterial SSU rRNA
Rfam family: Bacterial small subunit ribosomal RNA
Source: RNAcentral
AAUAGAUACCCGGGUAGUCCACGCCGUAAACGAUGAGUGCUAGGUGUCGGAGGGGUCCACCCUGCGGUGCCGAAGUUAACACAUUAAGCACUCCGCCUGGGGAGUACGGUCGCAAGACUGAAACUCAAAGGAAUUGACGGGGACCCGCACAAGCAGUGGAGUAUGUGGUUUAAUUCGAAGCAACGCGAAGAACCUUACCAGGUCUUGACAUCCCUUUGAAUACGUUAGAGAUAGCGUAGGCCUUCGGGACAGAGGAGACAGGUGGUGCAUGGUUGUCGUCAGCUCGUGUCGUGAGAUGUUGGGUUAAGUCCCGCAACGAGCGCAACCCUUGAGCUUAGUUGCCAGCGCGUAAUGGCGGGCACUCUAGGCUGACUGCCGGUGACAAACCGGAGGAAGGCGGGGAUGACGUCAAAUCAUCAUGCCCCUUAUGACCUGGGCUACACACGUACUACAAUGGCCGGUACAACGGGCAGCGAAGGAGCGAUCCGGAGCCAAUCCUAUCAAAGCCGGUCUCAGUUCGGAUUGCAGGCUG